This 253-nucleotide ribosomal RNA is filed under the name uncultured bacterium. RNAcentral describes it as "partial 16S ribosomal RNA". It matches the Rfam family "Bacterial small subunit ribosomal RNA", at positions 524 to 776 of the family's 1533-position model. The record is from RNAcentral.
UACGAAGGGGGCUAGCGUUGUUCGGAAUUACUGGGCGUAAAGCGCACGUAGGCGGGUCUGUAAGUAGGGGGUGAAAUCCCAGGGCUCAACCCCGGAACUGCCUUCUAGACUGCAGGCCUUGAGGUCAGGAGAGGCGAGCGGAAUUCCGAGUGUAGAGGUGAAAUUCGUAGAUAUUCGGAGGAACACCAGUGGCGAAGGCGGCUCGCUGGACUGAUACUGACGCUGAGGUGCGAAAGCGCGGGGAGCAAACAGG